Molecule: ribosomal RNA, 253 nt
Filed under: uncultured bacterium
Lineage: Bacteria
Description: partial 16S ribosomal RNA
Rfam family: Bacterial small subunit ribosomal RNA
Source: RNAcentral
UACGGAGGGUGCAAGCGUUGUCCGGAAUCACUGGGCGUAAAGGGCGCGUAGGCGGCUGGGUAAGUCACGUGUGAAAGUCCGGGGCUCAACCCCGGAACGGCAUGUGGGACUGCCCGGCUAGAGCACGGUAGAGGCGAGUGGAAUUCCAGGUGUAGCGGUGGAAUGCGUAGAUAUCUGGAAGAACACCGGAGGCGAAGGCGGCUCGCUGGGCCGUUGCUGACGCUGAGGCGCGAAAGCGUGGGGAGCAAACAGG